CAAAACUCUCAGGCAUUGUUAACACACCGUCUCCGAAGGGUGGCAAAAUCUGGACCACUCUGAGUGGAAACAUUGCCCAGUGUCUGCUGGUGUUUGCAUGGUGUGUCUCAAAGCUAUUGGGAAACUUGACAAGUGUGUAGAGUGUAUGCAGUGUAGAAGUUCCUUUGGACACCCCAGGAAUGACCCACAAAUUUUAGUAUGCAGGUAAAAAUGAAAGGAGAAGGUGACAAAUCUUCUGUUUGGUGCUACUGAUGUUACUACUGGAAUCUUUGGAGGAGGAGUGGGAGACAGAAGAGAAGAAA
RNAcentral lists this long non-coding RNA (302 nucleotides) under Chrysolophus pictus (golden pheasant). Its description in RNAcentral is "lncRNA (ENSCPIG00010000302.1)". The record is from RNAcentral. Lineage: Eukaryota; Metazoa; Chordata; Aves; Galliformes; Phasianidae.